AUGAGCAAAGCACUCUGCCCCAAGUACCAAGGCCUAUCCACGUACGAGAAAGAGUAUUUGGCAAUGAUCGCUGCAGUAGAUCAAUGGCGACCGUACUUGCACUCUGCAGAGUUCAUCAUCAAAACAGACCAACGCAACUUAGUCUAUUUGCAGGAGCAGAGACUCACGACUCCGUGGCAACAACGAGCUUUCACCAAGUUAUUGGGCUUGCAAUACAAGAUUGUGUAUAAGAAGGGCGUGGAAAAUGGAGCUGCAGAUGCACUAUCUCGCCUGCACCACUCAUAG
This 285-nucleotide ribosomal RNA is filed under the name Triticum aestivum (bread wheat). RNAcentral describes it as "partial small subunit ribosomal RNA". The record is from RNAcentral. Lineage: Eukaryota; Viridiplantae; Streptophyta; Magnoliopsida; Poales; Poaceae.